RNAcentral lists this ribosomal RNA (429 nucleotides) under Fusobacteriota bacterium. Its description in RNAcentral is "Fusobacteria bacterium partial 16S ribosomal RNA". It matches the Rfam family "Bacterial small subunit ribosomal RNA", at positions 355 to 776 of the family's 1533-position model. Lineage: Bacteria; Fusobacteriati; Fusobacteriota. The record is from RNAcentral.
UGGGGAAUAUUGCGCAAUGGGCGAAAGCCUGACGCAGCGACGCCGCGUGAGGGAUGAAGGUUUUCGGAUCGUAAACCUCUGUCAGAAGGGAAGAAACCGCACUGUGCUAAUCAGCAGUGCCUUGACGGUACCUUCAAAGGAAGCACCGGCUAACUACGUGCCAGCAGCCGCGGUAAUACGGAGGGUGCAAGCGUUAAUCGGAAUUACUGGGCGUAAAGCGCACGUAGGCUGCUUUGUAAGUCAGGGGUGAAAUCCCACGGCUCAACCGUGGAACUGCCUUUGAUACUGCUUAGCUUGAAUCCGGGAGAGGGUGGCGGAAUUCCAGGUGUAGGAGUGAAAUCCGUAGAUAUCUGGAGGAACAUCAGUGGCGAAGGCGGCCACCUGGACCGGUAUUGACGCUGAGGUGCGAAAGCGUGGGGAGCAAACAGG